This 529-nucleotide ribosomal RNA is filed under the name uncultured bacterium. RNAcentral's name for it is "bacterial SSU rRNA". It matches the Rfam family "Bacterial small subunit ribosomal RNA", at positions 777 to 1304 of the family's 1533-position model. The record is from RNAcentral.
AAUAGAUACCCUGGUAGUCCACGCCGUAAACGAUGAGUGCUAAGUGUUAGGGGGUUUCCGCCCCUUAGUGCUGCAGCUAACGCAUUAAGCACUCCGCCUGGAGAGUACGGUCGCAAGACUGAAACUCAAAGGAAUUGACGGGGGCCCGCACAAGCGGUGGAGCAUGUGGUUUAAUUCGAAGCAACGCGAAGAACCUUACCAGGUCUUGACAUCCCACUGACCGCUAUGGAGACAUAGAUUUCCCUUCGGGGACAGUGGUGACAGGUGGUGCAUGGUUGUCGUCAGCUCGUGUCGUGAGAUGUUGGGUUAAGUCCCGCAACGAGCGCAACCCUUGAUCUUAGUUGCCAUCAUUUAGUUGGGCACUCUAAGGUGACUGCCGGUGACAAACCGGAGGAAGGUGGGGAUGACGUCAAAUCAUCAUGCCCCUUAUGACCUGGGCUACACACGUGCUACAAUGGACGGUACAAACGGUUGCCAACCCGCGAGGGGGAGCUAAUCCGAUAAAACCGUUCUCAGUUCGGAUUGUAGG